Molecule: long non-coding RNA, 2879 nt
Organism: Biomphalaria glabrata
Lineage: Eukaryota; Metazoa; Mollusca; Gastropoda; Planorbidae
Exons: 2
Source: RefSeq, a predicted model, not a curated record
AACAGCGUAAACACAAUGGUUCUAGAAAUGGAUGCCCUGACAGAUGAUUUGCUAAGUCAAAUAAUAUCUUCUAUUAAACAGUACCACAGAUUAACAAAACUGAUCAUAGAGAUUCCCGCAGAAGAAGAACCAAUAAUGAUUCAUUAUUUAGAAAAGCAUAAUGUGACAUAUCCAGAAAUUUUCAUCAACAAAGCAGAAUGGAAAGCUGAAAGAUCAGGGAUGAUGAAUUUUUUGUCUAUAAUUCGCAGAAGUUUGUUUCUCUAGAAACAAAAAAAAAAAAUUACAGUACAUGUUUAGAUAUAUUCUUCCAAAUCUCUCCUUAUCAUCCAAUUACAGAUAAAUGAGAACUAAUAUCUUUAUGGCAUGAAAUUAUUUACCAUACUAUUUCUUAUUCACAUUAUCCACAUUUCAUACACAAUUUCUAUAUUUAGAAUUGAUAAUUAAUAUGCUUGAAUACGAUUAUGCAACCAGAUGUGUGUCAUUGUAGAGAAAAUAAUCACUACAUCUCUAUUAAGGAGUUAAAUUAACUAUUACUCUCUUUGGACUUUCAUUGGCACUUAUUAAACUAUUUCUACAUUCUAGAACAAAAUAUUUACAUCUAACAUAGAUAAUCAAUAGACAUUUCAAUGUAACUAUUUAAAAGUUAAAACAUUUACAUUAUAAAAUUCUAACAUUGCUAUUAUUUUUAGAAGUUGCAAUUUAUGAUUUACAGUUGUGUUUAAAUAUUUAUUUUUAAUGUUUAAUAUUUAAUAAUGAAUGUCUAAAUAGUAAAUGUCUGAAUAUCUACAUUAGGAAAACGUUUGGUGAUCUUACUGGUCUGCCAUAAAGUGUAACCACUGGAGCUAGGCCGUAUUGUGUUACAACAGGUGCUGUACUAGCAAUCGCAGUCUCGGGUUCUGUAACUUGCGUUUCGUAGGAUGUAUCAGAAUUGUCCCAUUCAAAUACAUCUGGAGUCUCGUUUGGUCUGGAAAAUGUCUUUUCUAUUUCUUCUGUUAUGAUCUUGGCGUUGAAGCUUCUGAGAUGACAGUGGCUGGCUUCCAUUGACUUCCAGGAUUCUUUUGCCUAAAGACCUUGUUUCCAGGAUGAAACUGAUGUCUUUCAGUGCGUUUAGCAGUUCUGUCAUAAUAUUUUCUUUGAACAUUUUUUCUCCUUCUCUAUACAUCAGCCAUUUCUUUCUGGUCUGGAUCUUGUGGUCUGAGAUAAGUAUUUGUUGUCGGAAUAUUAGUUCUCAAACGUAUGCCCAUGAGCAGCCUUGCUGGUGAAGGUCUAUCUGGACUUGGGGCAUUUCUGAACUGUAGCAUGGCUAAAUAUGGGUCUUGACCAGAUGUUUUAGCUUCUUUUUUUAAUUCUUCUCGAAGUGCCGCUGGAACCUUUCUUGCUGCAUGUACCACUGGUCUUAUGUUUGGAUCAACUUCUUUCAAGCAUCCAAGGCCAGUAAAAACAUCAGCAUAGUUGUUAAAUGUUUCAUCGUCUAAAAAAUCUACUCUCUGAAUAAGGUUCAUCUGCUGGCAACCUGGUAGACCCAAAAUUGGUUUGGAGUGUGUAUCUAUUACUUGAAACUCUAUCCAUGCAGUUUUUUCUUUUACUGAACAUUUAAUGUGUGUUUUGCCAACAACCUUUAAAUGUUCACCACUGUAUGUAGUAAGUCUUGAUGAUGACUUCUGGAGUUUCUUUCUUCUAAGUUGAUUAAAAAUUCUAUAAGGAAGAAUGUUGACUUGUUCUCUUGUAUCCAAUGUAAAUGUUAUAUGUUUGUUUUCUAGAGUGAUAACUGUAUUCCACUCAUUACAUUGGUUUUUUAAACCUAUACUGCCAAUUAAAGAAGUUUCAGACUUGGUAUCAUCUGUAGCUUCAGUCUUGUAAUUGAUGAAUUGGAUGUCAUUUGAUCUGCAUACAUUAGAAAAAUGGUUCAUUUUGUAGCAUUUGCAACAUAUUUUACCGUAAGCUGGACACUGCUUUGGUAAAUGUUGUCUGCCACAAUAGCCGCAGUUCAAGGUUGAUUUCGUUCUACGAAAGUUGUUUGUAGCUGAAGACACCGCUUGAACGUCACAUUCUUCUUUCAUGACUUUGAGUUGCCAUUCAGUUGCUUCCGCUGCUCGGCAAAUGUGUUCAGCUUUCACAAUGUUUAGAUCAGGUUCUCUUCAAAGUCUUGCUCUUGUGCUGUCAUUUUUUAUACCGCCUACUAUUUGGUCUUUAAUUAGUGAAUCUCUUAGUGACUCAAAUUCACAAGACCUUACCUUGAGUUUGAGGUCGGUCAAAAAGCUGUCAAAGGUUUCUCCUUCAUUUUGACUUCUCUUGAAAAAAAUAUGCCUUACAAUCGUUACAGUAUUGUUCAAACUUGUUUAAAAUGCAAUUCAGUGUAUGAAAAGACUAAUAUUGCAGUAUUCACACUCAUCGUCCGUCCACUGGAAUGUAUUGUAGACUUGGACUGCUUCAUGGCCAAUAACAUGUAGCAACGUCAUGGACUGUACUUCUUUACUUUUAGUAUCAAGUCCACUUGCUAUGGUGUAAAUUUGAAACGACUGUUUAAAACUUCUCCAGUUUUCUGCAACAUUUCCAUUAAAUUCCAGUGGUUGUGGCGGGUGGAGUCGGUCCAUCUGACACCAUGUAAUAGUAGGCUAGUAAAGACUAACAAACACUUUCUUGUCUGUUUAAAUGAUGUUAGAUAAUCCAUAUAUAUAGGCCUAAAAGGAAUUCAAUUAUCCUCCCUAUCUGUUAAUUAGCACAUUCUUUCGACAUGCCAUCAAUGUGGAUUACUGGGUUACAAUAACAGGACGGGGCUGACAAAACCAUCACAUUGACUAUCACAAUUUCGGCUUUAUAGACUUCGUUACAAAAGAAAUACUGAAGUUUUUCAGUUCCUAUCUAAUGUGGCAGGUAGA